Non-coding RNA from Mus musculus (house mouse), 75 nucleotides. The record is from RefSeq and is marked provisional. Lineage: Eukaryota; Metazoa; Chordata; Mammalia; Rodentia; Muridae.
CUGCAGAUGGCACAGUGAGGCCACAAAUCCCCAUAGAGAGAUGAGAAGGAUAUGGAGCAGACUGUGUUCUCUGUU